AACGAACGCUGGCGGCAUGCCUAACACAUGCAAGUCGAACGAGACCUUCGGGUCUAGUGGCGCACGGGUGCGUAACGCGUGGGAACCUGCCCUUAGGUUCGGAAUAACUCCCCGAAAGGGGUGCUAAUACCGGAUAAUGUCUUCGGACCAAAGAUUUAUCGCCUUUGGAUGGGCCCGCGUUGGAUUAGCUAGUUGGUAGGGUAAAAGCCUACCAAGGCGACGAUCCAUAGCUGGUCUGAGAGGAUGAUCAGCCACACUGGGACUGAGACACGGCCCAGACUCCUACGGGAAGCAGCAGUGGGGAAUAUUGGACAAUGGGCGAAAGCCUGAUCCAGCAAUGCCGCGCGAGUGAUGAAGGCCUUAGGGUUGUAAAGCUCUUUUACCCGGGAUGAUAAUGACAGUACCGGGAGAAUAAGCUCCGGCCAACUCCGUG
This 433-nucleotide ribosomal RNA is filed under the name uncultured bacterium. RNAcentral describes it as "partial 16S ribosomal RNA". It matches the Rfam family "Bacterial small subunit ribosomal RNA", at positions 29 to 507 of the family's 1533-position model. The record is from RNAcentral.